Molecule: ribosomal RNA, 494 nt
Filed under: Marinobacter sp. Ar-107
Lineage: Bacteria; Pseudomonadati; Pseudomonadota; Gammaproteobacteria; Pseudomonadales; Marinobacteraceae
Description: bacterial SSU rRNA
Rfam family: Bacterial small subunit ribosomal RNA
Source: RNAcentral
CGGUAACAGGGGGAGCUUGCUCCCCGCUGACGAGCGGCGGACGGGUGAGUAAUGCAUAGGAAACUGCCCAGUAGUGGGGGAUAGCCCGGGGAAACCCGGAUUAAUACCGCAUACGCCCUUCGGGGGAAAGCAGGGGAUCUUCGGACCUUGCGCUAUUGGAUGUGCCUAUGUCGGAUUAGCUAGUUGGUGGGGUAAGAGCCUACCAAGGCGACGAUCCGUAGCUGGUCUGAGAGGAUGAUCAGCCACAUCGGGACUGAGACACGGCCCGAACUCCUACGGGAGGCAGCAGUGGGGAAUAUUGGACAAUGGGGGCAACCCUGAUCCAGCCAUGCCGCGUGUGUGAAGAAGGCUUUCGGGUUGUAAAGCACUUUCAGUGAGGAGGAAAACCUUACGACUAAUACUCGUGAGGCUUGACGUUACUCACAGAAGAAGCACCGGCUAACUCCGUGCCAGCAGCCGCGGUAAUACGGAGGGUGCAAGCGUUAAUCGGAAUU